Unclassified non-coding RNA from Callithrix jacchus (white-tufted-ear marmoset), 305 nucleotides. It matches the Rfam family "Metazoan signal recognition particle RNA". Rfam says of the family: The signal recognition particle (SRP) is a universally conserved ribonucleoprotein. It is involved in the co-translational targeting of proteins to membranes. NCBI's taxonomy places the organism in Eukaryota, Metazoa, Chordata, Mammalia, Primates, Cebidae. The record is from Ensembl.
GCCUGGUGAUGUGGCAUGUGGCCUGUAGUCCCAGCUACUGGGGAGGCUGAGGCAGGAGGCUGGCUUGAGCCCAGGAGCUCUGAGUUGUAGGGCACUAUGCCAAUCUGGAGUCUCUCCACACUAAGUUUGGUAUUAAUAUGGUGAUAUUCCUGGAACAGGGCACCACCAAGUUGCCUAAGGAAAGGUGAACUGAACCAGGUUGGAAACAGGGCAGUUCAAAACUCCCUUGCAGUUCAGUAGUGGGAUCUCACCCGUGAAUAGCCACUGCAUUCUGCCCUGGGCAACACAGCAAGACCUUGUCUCUG